CUAGAACUCCUAUAAUUCUUCUUCCUAUGGCCGAAAUUCUCUCUUUCUUUUCUCUCUUUGAAGUUGGCUAGCUUGGGAGCAAGAGAUAGAAGAAGAAGAUGGAGAGAAAAUGAAAUGUUGGAAUACGAAUGAAGUGUUGGAAGAAUGAGAUGUGCAUUCAAAAUGUAAUGGGCAAUUCAUUAUUAAUUCUCCCACAAUCAUUUUGUUGCCCAUUAGGUAAGACACUUUGUAUUAUUACUUACCUUAGGUUAAACAUGAUUAAAUGUGCAUAAUGGAGUGGCAACCAAUGGGAGCCUUACAACAUUGUCCUUAUGUUUA
RNAcentral lists this long non-coding RNA (318 nucleotides) under Panax ginseng (ginseng). RNAcentral's name for it is "long non-coding RNA (PGIN_LNC002487)". Lineage: Eukaryota; Viridiplantae; Streptophyta; Magnoliopsida; Apiales; Araliaceae. The record is from RNAcentral.